CAACCUCCUAUUUAUUAAGUUAACCUUGUAUGUUUGGAUACUUUUUAGCCUUGGACUUCUAAUAUAUAGUAGUUCUGAUGCUUGUAUAUACAACUAAAAUCCUUGUAGGCUUCAUAAUGGCAUCAUUAUGAACGCAUUUGCUCAUAUAUUCACAUGAAUGAUCUCCAUUAGAAGUAUUAAUAGUUUGAUAGUUUACUGGUUUAUUAGCCUAUACUUCCUUGACCUACAUAUCAUCCAUCUGAAGUUUGGUAUUUUGCAUAUACAGAUCUUGAUUUCAGAUCUUCAAAUUCAAGCUCACAAAAUUAUAUCUAUGUGAUAGAAAACUUGCUUUCUUGAUGUGGUUUAUGCAUGGAUCUUCUGUAAUUAGAAGGAUCUGUUUUAUGUAGACUAACAUAAAAUUCACCGAUGAAGAUUAGUUACCCAUGGAAACACUCGAUAUUGCAUCAAGAAUUGAACAAUUUUGUCAAAAUUGGGAUCAUAUUGCAAAUCAUAGAAGGCCUUGAGCUAGAUCAAAUCAUAACUCAAGAAACCUUAUUUUCUGUGAAGUUAAUUAAUAUGUCAAGAAACAAAUAUCAUAAUUUACUUAAUUUAGAUUUCUUGCUUAAAAAAUGUCAAUAUAAUUAAUUAAGAUUUAACAAAUAAUAAAAUUAUUGAAUUUUAACUGUCUCUGUCCUUAAAAAAUAUAUAAUAUUAUUCUGACAUUAAAUGUUUUACUGGUGAUCUUUUCAAAUUUCUUGUAAGUUUAUUAUCACAAAUUACUUAGUUCAAAAUAUAGGAAAUAUCUCAAUAAUUCAUAGAAAACAACUGUCUAAUACAAGAAUAAAUGAUUAAGUUGGAUAUUACCAAACCUAUGAGUUGUUUAGUUGACAAAACUGAUCUAUUUGUUAUGAUCAUGAAUUGUUUAAGGCCAUUUUAAUUUAGAUUGUAAAAUCAAGAUCAUUGAAUCAUAAGAUCUUGUGCUAGUGAAUAUUGUCUAAACUUUGCUUGACUUUAAAUUGAUAGAUAAUUCCCUCAAAUAAUGUUGUUACUGUAAAUAAUUCCCUCAAAUAUUGUUAAUACUGAAAACUUAAGAGUUGGUAUAAUUAAUAAGUUUUUGUAAGGUCAACGAAAAUCGUUGAUAAAAGAAAAUAACUGGUAGAUACUCGAAAACUCAUAAAAAAGCAUGGUUAGUACAACAACCUAAAAAUAAUACAUUAAACAUUUUUGUUAUAUGUUUUGCAAAAAUAUUCACCCCUUAGGAUUUUCAAUUGCUACGGACAAGUACAUGGAUUUGCAAUGUGGCAUUGUAGAGAUUUUUGUCCUUUAUUGUAUAGAUGGACAAGUCAUCUGGGUUACAUUAAUCCAUGUCAUGUGGUUUGAUGUUGGUGGUUGAAUUUGUGUUGACCUGCUUGACUUGGUUCGAGUUCGAUCAAUAUAAAAAUUUUGGUCUUACCCAACGUCUUGAUCUCUCGAAGAGGUAUUGAUCCCAAGGUGUGCUUUUUGCACAAAGAUCGGCAUUGGAAGGGCUUCUCAAUAGAUCUCUUUGACGUUCAAAUUAGGCUCUCAAAGUGGGAUUAGAAUGUAAACGAAAAAAAGAGAGUCUGACCUUGGUAAUCCUAUUCAUCUUCGUCUUUUAUAGUCGGUUCUCUCCUAGAUGCUUGCGGUUAGGAAUAGUAUUUUGCAAAACAGAAAAUAUUUAGAUAAUAUUUUUUGUUUGGCUUCUACUGACAUGGUAGAGCCAUUAGUUGAGACCUUUUAUCAUUAAUAGGUGAUGUGAUUGUCAUGUGUUGAGCAACAGAUUAAGAUGGAUAUUUCCCAUAUCGAUUGUCCCUUGAAAUUGUAUUGGGGAGUGUUUCUGAAUGGGUGCUAAAAUAUAAUUUAGACACACUCGCUUUUGGUGGACUCGUGAGUGUUAAAGGUUGCUUUCAUAGUUUGGGUGUCUUAGAGGGAUCAUUAUGGUUGGCCUGAAGGCAUCUCAGUCAGUCCUCGAUGCUCCUCCCGAAGAGGUCCUUGAUGCUCAGUCCUAAAAAGAUGCAUCGGAUGGUCCACGAUGCUUAGCUUGAGGAGGGCACAUAAGGUGAUCCAUGAUGCUUAGCCCGAUGUGGGUGCAUUGGAUAAUCCAUGAUGCUUAACCUGAGAAGGACGCAUCGGGUAAUAAAAAAUACUUAGCCCGAGGAUGGCCUAUUGGGUGAUCUAUGAUGACCUCAAGGAGGGUGCAUCGGACGAUCUGUGAUGCUUAGCUCAAAGAGAGCAUAUCGAGUGAUCCAUUAUGGUUAUUGCCUAAGGAGAGCAUUGAGCAAUCCGCUUUGCUUAGCCCGAGGAGGGUGCAACGGGCAAUUUGUGAUGUGUAGCCUGAAGAGGGCAUAUCGAGUAAUCCAUUUUGCUUAGCCUAAGGAGAGCAUCGGGCAAUCCGCUUUGCUUAGCCCGAGGAGGGUGUAUUGGGUGGUCUACGAUGCUUAGCUGGAGGAAGAUGUUUAGCUCAAUGAGGGCACAUCAGAUAAAUCACGAUGCUUAGUCCAAUGAGGGCACAUUGGGUGGUCUGUGAUGCUUACUUGAGGAAGGCACAUUGAGUAAUCCAUGGUGUUUAGCCUAAGGUGGCUGCAUUGGGUGGUCCUUGAUACUCGAUCCUCGGAGGACACAUCGGAUGAUCUAUGAUACUUAGCUCGAGGAGGGCACAUCAGGUGGUGAUGCUUAGCAUAAGGACACACAAGGUGAUCCAUAGUGUUUAAUAUGAGAAGGGCCCAUAAGGUGAUCUAGGAUGCUUAGCUUGACUAGGGCGCAUUGGGUGAUCAUGAUUCUUAGCCCGAGGAGGGUGCAUCGGAUGAUCUGUGAUGCUUUGCUCAAGGAGGGCAUAUCAGAUGAUUCACAAUGCUUAACCCAGCAGGGCACAUCGAGUGAUCUUCUUUGGGAUUUGAUUUGGCAGGUGGGUCAAAUGUCAUCGCACGUGUUGGUCAACCUUCUUGGUAAGCGAGAAUUGGGUGAGUGAGAAUCCUUGAAUGGGAAAUAUCUUAGUGGGAAAUUGAGGACAUAAAAGGUGAAAAGAUGUUUGAUGCUGAUGCCCUAUAAAGGGCCUUUUUUGGGGCGGAAGAGGCCUCACUCUAAGGCUUCUUGAGUCCAUAGCCUCCUAGCUUGCAGCCCCUUAGUCCUUUUAAAGCACUCCUUUUUUUCUCGGAUGAAGGAAAUGGCCUUUUCCACCUCUUUCGAGUCUCGAUCCCUUGAUGAUUGAAAGAUCUAUCUUUCAAAGAAGGGAGGCUAUACUAAAUUGGAUCAAGAUGCAAUUGUCCUUUAGUUAUCUUUCUAUGGGAAUUUCUUCGUAUAAUUCAAAAGCUAGUGAAAUCUCUCUUUAUCAUUAGGGUCUAUAUAUGAGAUAGAGAGAGGGAAAGGUUCAAUUUUUGUGUCCUCACUUAAUUUGUUGUAUCUUCCAUUUGUGUGCUUUUCCUAAGCUGUGUAGACUCUACUGAGGAUUUAUGCAUUUGAGACUAUAUAUUGUUGUUUUAAAAGCCUUUUAUGCACGAGGGUCUUCAUCCAUGGAUUUGAAGUCUAGGUUUUGAAAAUGGUGGCGUGCCUUUAACUCAAGGGAUCAUGAGGUUUAGAUCACGGUCGAGGGUGUUGAAGUCCUAUCCUUGGAUAGCCUAACGUCGAGGUUAGGGAGGGUGUCAUCUUCUUCAGAUGGGACAUCAGUUGAAGAAGGGCUCGAUGCUUCGUUUGGUAGUGAUCCUCUCCUCUUCCUUAGUUAUCAAACAAAGAGUCGAAGAUCGAUUGAUCGAUGUUAACCUAAGCCCAGGUCCUUGGGGUACGUCUUUGUGUUUCGUUCCUUUUCAUUUUAGCAUUAUUUUCCUAAUGUUUGACUUGACACCUCGUUGCAUGAAUGGAUCUCACGAAGCUAAAGCGAAAGGUGGUUGCCUCGAUAGCUCUUGCUUCCAUGCGAAUUCCAUCGAGGAGUUCGAUUGUCUUAGCUUUGUUGACAACUUCAAUGACCUGGGUGCUAGAGAGGAGUGUGCCAGUCGAGGCAUCGAUUGAGGUCAAGUCGUCCUGAAAGCAUGGGGUGGUGAUGAAGGGAGGAUAUUUAGCCUCCACGUUGAGGUGGCAUCGGACAGUGCUACCCCGACACCCCAGUGCCUAAGGCAGGAUCAACGUCAAAAAGAUCGUGGCAUCAAUACAUGCAUGACUUGUGCAAAUGCAAAUUGGCACCUUUCGUUGCCCUCCAGGCGUCGAACUUGCUUGACCUGAUGGAAGGAGAACCCUUGAAGGCACGAUGGUACUCGUUAAAGGCAUCUGAUGCGAUAUGGAAGGAUGGGCACUUAGUCAGCUAAUACCUCCGAGGGGUUCUCAUCCCUCCUCUAGCCAAGGAGGUUGACACAUUGCCCUUCGAGGUGAUGAUCGAAGAGGUGACUAAACAUGUUGUGGUGCAUAACCACUAUUUGAUGGGGAUUAUUGAUUGGUUUUGUGACUCAGGGAGCAUCGUCUCCUUCCUAAGUGAGGAGAAGGAUAAGCUUGAGGUUGAGGAAAGAUCGGGCCGAUCCAUGAAUAAUUGUGAAGCUGAAGGCAAAGCCUGUCAAUCGGGAAACAAGGUUGAUCGAGGAACAAUAGUGCAUUGAUGCCCUUGUUGAGAAGAAUGGCUGACAAGCGAACCAAUUGAAUAUGAUCCGGGAGCACAACUGUCAGAUGCAAGAUUAGUUGCAUCUUCAAGGAGAAAUCAAUAUGCAAAAGACAAAGAUAUUUGAUCUAAUGAAGCAACUUCAGGUUGAGAAAGCAUUGGCUCAGAAGCUAGCAAUUGAGACGGUUGCAGCCUAUAAGGAGUCGGAGGGAUUGCCUUCUUCGAGUGGGGGAUGCAUCCUUCAAGUGUGGAUAUCUCCUGCUAUCACCCAAACAAAAACCAAGUAUCUUGACCUCCAAGUUGAAGAAAAUCCUUGCAUUGACUUGCCGAAGGACAAGUUGGUGUCAAUGGAGACCCACAUCGACUUCAACGAUAACUCAACGUCCCUAUUGGAUGAAGGCGUCGGUGCCUCUGGAAUAGAAGUUGUCAACAUAUUUAUAACCCCUUAAAUCUCCUUGUCCUUUCGUUUUUGUGGGUCGGAAUCUAAUGAAUCACUUUUGAAUCUUGUGUAAGGACCUGACUUGUAUAAUGUAAAAAAAUUUCAAAGUAUCAAUGAAGAAUUUUUUGCUA
Musa acuminata AAA Group (dessert banana) is the source of this 5146-nucleotide long non-coding RNA. RefSeq lists it as uncharacterized. NCBI's taxonomy places the organism in Eukaryota, Viridiplantae, Streptophyta, Magnoliopsida, Zingiberales, Musaceae. The record is from RefSeq and is a predicted model, not a curated record. The transcript has 2 exons.